UUACCGGCUAAAAUGGCAAGAAAUUCCUUCGGCCAAGGUGCUGCAUGGUUGUCGUCAGCUCGUGCCGUGAGGUGUUGGGUUAAGUCCCGCAACGAGCGCAACCCUAUUUUAGUUGCCAGCAUAUGGGACUCUAAGANACUGCCUGCGCAACAGGAGGAAGGAGGGGACGACGUCAAAUCAUCAUGGCCCUUACGCCGGGCUACACACGUGCUACAAUGGAGUACAAGGGGCACGGUAACGUAAGCAAUCUCAAAACUUUCUCAGUUCGGAUUGAGGUCUGCAACUCGACCUCAUGAAGUUGGAAUCGCUAGUAAUCGCAAUCAGCAUGUGCGGUGAAUACGUUCCCGGACCUUGUACACACCGCCCGUCAAGCCAUGGAAGUCGGAGACCGAA
This 393-nucleotide ribosomal RNA is filed under the name uncultured bacterium. RNAcentral describes it as "bacterial SSU rRNA". It matches the Rfam family "Bacterial small subunit ribosomal RNA", at positions 971 to 1425 of the family's 1533-position model. The record is from RNAcentral.